This 434-nucleotide ribosomal RNA is filed under the name uncultured Lachnospiraceae bacterium. RNAcentral describes it as "bacterial SSU rRNA". It matches the Rfam family "Bacterial small subunit ribosomal RNA", at positions 341 to 792 of the family's 1533-position model. The record is from RNAcentral. Lineage: Bacteria; Bacillati; Bacillota; Clostridia; Lachnospirales; Lachnospiraceae.
ACGGGAGGCAGCAGUGGGGAAUAUUGCACAAUGGGGGAAACCCUGAUGCAGCGACGCCGCGUGGGUGAAGAAGUAUUUCGGUACGUAAAGCCCUAUCAGCAGGGAAGAUAAUGACGGUACCUGACUAAGAAGCUCCGGCUAAAUACGUGCCAGCAGCCGCGGUAAUACGUAUGGAGCAAGCGUUAUCCGGAUUUACUGGGUGUAAAGGGUGCGUAGGUGGCAUGGUAAGUCAGAUGUGAAAUACCGGGGCUCAACCCCGGAGCUGCAUUUGAAACUGCCAGGCUGGAGUACAGGAGAGGCAAGCGGAAUUCCUAGUGUAGCGGUGAAAUGCGUAGAUAUUAGGAGGAACACCAGUGGCGAAGGCGGCCUGCUGGACUGUUACUGACACUGAGGCACGAAAGCGUGGGGAGCAAACAGGAUUAGAUACCCUGGUA